RNAcentral lists this ribosomal RNA (395 nucleotides) under uncultured bacterium. RNAcentral describes it as "bacterial SSU rRNA". It matches the Rfam family "Bacterial small subunit ribosomal RNA", at positions 29 to 429 of the family's 1533-position model. The record is from RNAcentral.
AUUGAACGCUGGCGGCAUGCCUUACACAUGCAAGUCGAACGGUAACGCGGGGGCAACCCUGGCGACGAGUGGCGAACGGGUGAGUAAUACAUCGGAACGUACCCAGUAGUGGGGGAUAGCCCGGCGAAAGCCGGAUUAAUACCGCAUACGACCUAUGGGUGAAAGCGGGGGAUCGCAAGACCUCGCGCUAUUGGAGCGGCCGAUGUCGGAUUAGCUAGUUGGUGAGGUAAAGGCUCACCAAGGCUACGAUCCGUAGCUGGUCUGAGAGGACGACCAGCCACACUGGGACUGAGACACGGCCCAGACUCCUACGGGAGGCAGCAGUGGGGAAUUUUGGACAAUGGGCGCAAGCCUGAUCCAGCCAUGCCGCGUGUGUGAAGAAGGCCUGGUGUAAG